UGUAGUCUGCAACUCGACUACAUGAAGCUGGAAUCGCUAGUAAUCGCGAAUCAGAAUGUCGCGGUGAAUACGUUCCCGGGUCUUGUACACACCCGCCCGUCACACCAUGGGAGUCAGCAACGCCCGAAGCCGGUGACCCCAACCGAAAGGAGGGAGCCGUCGAAGGUGGGGCCGAUAACUGGGGUGAAGUCGUAACAAGGUAUC
Molecule: ribosomal RNA, 204 nt
Filed under: uncultured bacterium
Lineage: Bacteria
Description: partial 16S ribosomal RNA
Rfam family: Bacterial small subunit ribosomal RNA
Source: RNAcentral